UUGAUUUGAUUAUGUGGAUCUUCACACCAACACCGGCAUCAAAGAAUCGAAGAUCACGUUUCAAACAAGUCCAACAACCUCCACCUUCACGUUUUAAUCAAUUACCCGUAACUCCCAUCUCCUCCUGCUAAUUCUCCGCCUGCUCCUUGUGAAUUUUGCACACAAAUCCUCACUGAGGCAUUAAAACAAACACUUUCUGGGCGCUAGGCAAAGGCAUUUCCCUCUCAAAUCGGGAUCGCAAACGCCCCGCGAUUGGGUUCGUGCGUUCCAGAACGCGGGUCGCCGGCAACAUGAGCGUUUCCGGUAACUCUGGUGCGAAGCUGUGAAGCUUGCAGGUGGCGUGUAGGCUUUUGCCUUAGCCAAAAGUGACGUGUGUAUAAUCAAAACCAAGUCCUUUCGGUCGUUCUAAGGUCGUAAACUCCAUGACUAGUUAGCAAAAGCUCCCUGACAUGAACAUAAACUAACUCAGAGGACCUAGAGGAUCCGAUUAUGAUGAUAAUUUUCCAGCUUUGAUAAGUCUUCAACGUCUUUUGCAAGACGGCAAUUGGUUUAAUAGCGUAGGGGGAUCCAAAAUCAAAAGCUUUCGGUAACUCCAAGUCAGUAUGACCAGACAUGUUCGUGGAGGGUCGGUAGUACGAGGCACACUUAAAACCAAUAUCUCCUUAAUUUUGGACAAUUCUAAGACAUCACACUGAGCUUGGAUGAGCCUAGUUGAACAAUUGAUGAUGAAAAAUCCGCUAUAGGGUAGAAGACUUAACCGGAAACACGUGGGCGAUCCUCCUUGAGGAUGCAGUGCCAUGAGUCACCUUUAAAGGAAGGGACCAAAAUCGGCACAAUAUGCCAUGUUUCUAAGGACGAUGUAAGUGUACAUCUUGAUUGUAAAUCAAUAUGAAUCAUAAAAGGAGAAUAGUUUCACUUCGAAAAAUUCUCAAGGCAUUCAUUAUUGCUAAUGUGAGUACAUCGAGGUCUCAAAUAGACAAAGGACGUCAAUACAACGCCUUAGUACAUAUAACUUGGAACGAAAAUCAAUGUCUAGCCGAUGACAUCAAAGUCAUGGGUAGCUAGAGCAGGAUCCAAAUCUUUGAAAUUCACGAUCAUGAGGAUGACGUUCUUGUCCUCAUAUUGAUUUUCUAUACCUUUUUAUAUGCAUUCACAAUUUAA
Molecule: long non-coding RNA, 1161 nt
Filed under: Fragaria vesca (wild strawberry)
Lineage: Eukaryota; Viridiplantae; Streptophyta; Magnoliopsida; Rosales; Rosaceae
Description: long non-coding RNA (FVES_LNC004971)
Source: RNAcentral